UCACCUUAAAACCUAUAUAUAUUCUCUUAAUCCUAGAGAAUAAUUGCCCAAAAACCCACGAAACCUCAAAAUUUACAAUCCAAUCCCCUUCCAUAAUUUUCUCUCGCAGAAAGACCCCUACUCGUGCAUUUUCACGCAAAACGGAGUGCCAGGUGAUUUUAAAAGGCUAGAACAUUAUGUAUAAAUUAACCUAUCUACGAUAAUGACAGUUUUCUCAAAAACCAUCCGUUGAACACAAACCCGUCAGUGUCAUUGACUCCGGCACAGUCGAACCAUCG
RNAcentral lists this long non-coding RNA (278 nucleotides) under Ananas comosus (pineapple). RNAcentral's name for it is "long non-coding RNA (ACOM_LNC029228)". The record is from RNAcentral. Lineage: Eukaryota; Viridiplantae; Streptophyta; Magnoliopsida; Poales; Bromeliaceae.